Molecule: long non-coding RNA, 1319 nt
Organism: Monodelphis domestica (gray short-tailed opossum)
Lineage: Eukaryota; Metazoa; Chordata; Mammalia; Didelphimorphia; Didelphidae
Source: RefSeq, a predicted model, not a curated record
CCCUCUGCUUGUUGAACUAGACUGGCCUUAGUCUGAAAAGGCGAGCCAGUGUCAUUGCUCAUUAAAGGAAUGCAUGCUUUUCAACGGAGCCCUAUUUCUAGCAAGCAGGGACCAAAGGAGGUAGCUAGCCGGCAAAUAGGGUUAAUCCGGCCAGUUAUAGGACAAGAGCAUAUACAAGAGGGGAAACAAGAACUUUAAAGUUCCAGAGUUCAUCCUGCCAGACAAAUGGACUAUCCAAAGCAAGAAUUAACAGCAAAUUACUUUGAUUUGGGGAGAGGGGAACAGAGAGGCAAUGAAUCAAAUUCAAAAGCGUGGAAUCGCAGAACAAAUGUGAAUGGUAAAUAUGAAGACAUUAGAAGUUCUCUCAAAGCCAAUUCUAGAGAUGUCACCAUGGGGAUGAAAGAAAUCGGACAGACUCUUAUCAGACUCCAGGUUGGGGGAGAACAAGUGCCUGAGUUGGUAAUUCAAAUAGGGAUGAAGGAGGCUGAAAUGUCUUUGUUGGUGCACAGGCCGGGCAGGGAAAUAUCUUGGGCUUUGAAUCAGCUAAAAGAGGGAGGAAACAAACGCAAAGUACUCUGAUUGUGAGCUGGAAGACUCGCUCUGCUCAUUUCCCAUUGUGCUGGAUUUUCUUAGACGCCUUCUCAAAGCUGUGGCCCUGGAAUGAUUUUUCCUGUGAACUAGCAUGGGGAAACGAGAAUUGACAUCUGUGUGAUGAGCAGACUCGGAUUGGCUCAGCAGAGUGACCUGCUCAACUCUGGAAUGCUUUCCAAAGCUUCUUCUCAACCAGAUGCAAAGAACUUGGGAACCACCAUCAGAAGGCUUAAAUAAAGGCUUAAGUAAAAUGCUGACCAGCCUGGUAACUUUCAUGAAGAAGGCUCCCACAUGGCAUUCAUUGAUUGAGAACUAACGGUACAAGGCACUGUGCUAGUUACAUUUAAAUUAUGCUGAUUGGAGAAUAUUUUGACCCAGAAAAUACUGGCUUGGGAAGUGAACAGCUGGCCAAGAAGCUGGACUGGAGACAGGAGAUCCUGGGUUCACAUCUGGCCAGAGAUAUGUCCUAGCUGUAUGACCCUGCACAAGUUACUUAAACCCAUUUACAUCUCUUUCCUGCCUUGCAGUUCAUCCUUAAGUUUCAAUUCUAAGACAGAAGAUCCAGCCAAGCCGAAGAGACGAUUAGAUUGCAUGAGAGUAAAUGAGAUGAAGACCACAAGAUCCCUCCUAAAUGACUCCCUGCAGAAAUUGUGGCAGGACUGUGGACAAUGAAUUGCCGUCUCAUCUACAAUUCUAACAGCACCUAGUUCUGGAUGAUGCCUCCUCAC